UCCACCACCUGACAGUGUGUUAAAUUUAAAUUCUGUUAGUGCUGUAGUAAAAGAAUCGUUAAUAAUAAAUCCAUGCAGCGAAGGAACUGAAGAAUUGUGGGACCGUAUUUGGGCCGAAAAUGGGUGUGGUACGGAAACCCAGAAAUGGCAUGAGUUCAACAUAAAACAUGGAUUAGAAUUUUAGCGGGGGAUCCAGUAAAAUCUGGAAGUGUUCCAGGUUGGACGAGUGAGCAUACAGUUGAAAAACACUGAAAGUGCAUUACCAUUAAGGUAUGAGGUAAAGUAAUAGAGUAUGCAAAUUGUCUAAUGAGAAGUACCAUCUUGUGUGAAUGAAUCCUGUGUAACAGCAAUCCUUUAUAGUUCUGUUAUAGCUAGAAGCCUCAAAUAAUUCUGCUUCUCUUGCUAAAGAACAACUUGUCCUUUACACUCAGAGUGUUGGUGAAGCUGGGUACUUAAAUGGCCCUAAAGAUGUUUCACUUCACUGGCAUUGCAGCGAUGAACAUCAUACAUGGACUCUUUAGGAAAGGAUUUUCAGCAUACUGGGAACACAACUAUCAACAAUGCAACAUUCUAGGGGUGUUAUUUUAUCCUUCAAGAGCCUUAUACAAUGAUUUUCAUCUACAAUUUGUAUGGCCUUUCCCGAGCUUCUGCCAGAAGUUGAAUCUAUGAGUCAUGUAAGUCACAUGAGCAACAAUUGAGAUGCUUAAUGGUGUUGUUUUU
This is a long non-coding RNA of Daphnia carinata, 720 nucleotides long. RefSeq lists it as uncharacterized. The record is from RefSeq and is a predicted model, not a curated record. The transcript is spliced from 3 exons. NCBI's taxonomy places the organism in Eukaryota, Metazoa, Arthropoda, Branchiopoda, Diplostraca, Daphniidae.